Long non-coding RNA from Perca fluviatilis (European perch), 627 nucleotides. RefSeq lists it as uncharacterized. The transcript has 3 exons. The record is from RefSeq and is a predicted model, not a curated record. NCBI's taxonomy places the organism in Eukaryota, Metazoa, Chordata, Actinopteri, Perciformes, Percidae.
AACUGAGCCAGCUGAAGGCUUUUAUACUGCACCUGGGCAGCGGGACGAGCUAAGGGAGGAGUUUUACUGGACUACUGGUGUUGCGUUCACAACACCUCACUGUGGUUCACUACAUAGGCUAUCUCUUUUCAGUGUUGUAGUUUGUAGACGGUCCCUAAGCACUCGUCUUACUGCCGUCUCAACACCGGAACCAAACAGAGGGCUUUUUCUUGACCAUCCAGUGAAUGCAACAAAAAGCCACUCCCUCAACGCAUUCAAUUAAUAUUUGGUGCUGGACCUGAUCUGUUGAACGUGAUACCAUAACCUCGUCCCUAGGCGGUUCUGUGUUACACAAAUUGAUGCUGAAAAAGAAACCAAAAAUGAUGGCAGCAGUUUGGAGGUCUGGAACCAGGCUAUACAGAGGGAAUAAAACUGUGCCAACUAUGCCAAGAGAGCUCUCUUUGUGUUUGUUCAUAAAAGCAUUGCAUCAUGCAUUGUCACUGAAUAUGACUUGACUUGACAUGACUUUCAUACAGUAUAUUCAGUUCCAGUAUAAUCAGUUCCAGGUCUUUAUCAAGCGCAGAAGCUGAAAUGCCUAAACUAAUAAAGGCAACUUUGUGAAGCCUUUUUGUGUCCCUACAAGUAAAC